UCCGCCGCCUAAGGAUGGGUCUGCGGCCGAUUAGGUUGUUGUUGGGGUAACGGCCCAACAAGCCUGUAAUCGGUACGGGCUGUGAGAGAGGAAGCCCAGAGAUGGACUUUGAGACACGAGUCCAGGCCCUACGGGGCGCAGCAGGCGCGAAAACUUCGCAAUGGGGGAAAGCCCGACGAGGGAAUUCCAAGUGCUAGCACUUUGUGUUAGCUGUUCUUCUGUCUAAAAAACAGAGGGAGUAAGGGGCGGGUAAGACGGGUGCCAGCCGCCGCGGUAAUACCUGCAGCUCAAGUGGUGGCCACUAUUAUUGGGCCUAAAACGUCCGUAGCCGGUCUUCUAAAUCCUUGGGUAAAUCGGGCAGCUUAACUGUCCGAAUCCGGGGAGGACUGGGAGACUUGGGACCGGGAGAGGUCAGAGGUACUUCUGGGGUAGGGGUAAAAUCCUGUAAUCCUGGAAGGACCACCGGUGGCGAAGGCGUCUGACUAGAACGGAUCCGACGGUGAGGGACGAAGCCCUGGGGCGCAAACGGGAUUAGAUACCCCGGUAGUCCAGGGUGUAAACGCUGCGGGCUUGGUGUUGGGGGUCCUUAGUGGGCGCCCAGUGCCGGAGAGAAGUUGUUAAGCCUGCUGCUUGGGGAGUACGGUCGCAAGGCUGAAACUUAA
RNAcentral lists this ribosomal RNA (662 nucleotides) under uncultured euryarchaeote. RNAcentral describes it as "SSU rRNA". It matches the Rfam family "Archaeal small subunit ribosomal RNA", at positions 195 to 859 of the family's 1478-position model. Lineage: Archaea; Methanobacteriati; Methanobacteriota. The record is from RNAcentral.